Long non-coding RNA from Calidris pygmaea (Spoon-billed sandpiper), 1819 nucleotides. The record is from Ensembl. NCBI's taxonomy places the organism in Eukaryota, Metazoa, Chordata, Aves, Charadriiformes, Scolopacidae.
AUGGGGCUGCCCGACUGCCCUGUGCCAAGGACCAUGCCUGGCCGCUGGGGCUGUGGGGCUGGAUUUGGGGCUGGAUUUGCAUCUCUGGGGGGAAAUGGCAGCCCCCGGGGGGCUUCCACACCAGCCUUCAGGCACUGUGGCCGCUGCUGGUCCCUGGGCUGGGUUCAGAGCCUUCCCUUCCCUUCCCUGGCAGGUCCACCACAUCUUGCAGGAGGUGGUGAUCGGUGGCAUGGUGCUGGAGACCAACAUGAACGAGAUCGUGGCGCAGGUGGAGGCCCAGAGCAAGCUGGAGAAGGCGGAGGGAGGCCUCUCGGCCGCUCCUUCCCGCGCUGUCUCAGCCGUGAAGAACAUCAACCUGCCAGAGAUCCCUCGCAACAUCAACAUCGGAGACAUCAACAUCAAAGUGCCCAACCUCUCACAGUUCAUCCUCUCUCCUGGCUGGGGAAGAGCCAGUUCCUGCUUCUCCCAGAGCUUCUCGAGAUUCCUGGUUGUAAAAAUGCACUUGUAGCUGAUGGCUCCCGCAGGAGCCACAGGUUGUCACCUCCUCCCUGGGAUGGACUGUCCCGUGCCCUGCAUCCCUGUGCCCGCCCUGCUCCCCGUCGCUGGGUCUGGCCCCCCGCGAUGGGCUUGGGACCAGCCUGGUCGGGGUUGAGAGCGGGAGGGUCUGCCAGGUCUGGAGCUGGGGCUGGAGUGGGGGGAACCUGCUGGGCCGGGGGGUGCCGGGGGUCAGAGGGGGGCCACCUCCUGCCCUGCCUGGGCUGUGGGGCAGGGGAGCAGUGGGGCUGGGACCUCCUGGAGCAUGUCCCCAUGUCCCAAUAAACCACCCUGUGAACCUGCUGUGUCUGUGUCUGCCGUGAGGGGCUGCUGGACCAGCCCCGGGGGGAGCCCGGGAGGGGGCUGUGGCAGUCGGGGUCCUCUGCAGCACCUGUGGGGCGGCUGCAACCCUGGGGGGCUCUUGACGGUUGGGCAGGCAGGUGCUCAGGGGGAAAGAUGGUGCCCUGCUCCCCCUCUGGGGGAGGGCUGGGGUUGCUGCAGGGUGGGCUGUGGGGCAGGGUCCCUGGCUGUGCCCUAGGGGGCAUCCCUGGGCAGAGCAUCCCUGGUCUGCUCUUGGGGCAACUAUGAGCCCCGUAGGGCUCAGUGGGGCAUGUGAGGGCUGUGGGGCUGGAGCUAGUGUCCCUCCACAAGGCCUGGGGGAGUGGGGCUGGUCCUGGGGGUCCAUGGACUGAGUGUGGCUGCGGGGGACAGGCCAGGCAGGGGGCUCCCUGAGCAGAGGGGGCUCCUCAGGGCCCCAUCUGGCCACCAGCCUGGGGGCUGGCUCAGGGGCCCCUUCCUCUGCUUCCCCUCCGGCGGCCGGUCCAGCUGCGUCCCGCGGGCUCUGCCUCCACUUCCCCUGGCAGGGAAACCGUGACUCUGCCUGGAAGGAAUUUUCCUGUCGUCUCCCCUCCCUGCGGCUUAACCCUUCCCCAGCUGGCCAUGAGCCACUGCCAGGGGCCGUGGAGGUCAAGGAGCUGGGCAACCUCCUUCUUCCUCUUUUCCGCCAGCCCCCCUUCUCUUCCUCCUCUUCCUCCUCCUCCUCGUGCUGUCAGCUGCCGGAGCAGCGUGGUGCAGGGACCAGGUGAGCGGUGCUGUGUCCCAGGGGUGGCACACGGGGUCCGACGGGCACUGGGACAGUGGGAGGGGGAAACCCCGGCUUGCCCCAGGGUGAGGGACGCAGCGCGGAGCCCUCGUCCCGCUGCGGGGGCACUGGAGGCGUCGGGCUGGGGCAGGUGGUCCUGGCUGCGACGGGCCGUGCCCGUGCCCAGCCCUGUGCCGUGGCACG